This 1042-nucleotide long non-coding RNA is filed under the name Chinchilla lanigera (long-tailed chinchilla). Its description in RNAcentral is "lncRNA (ENSCLAG00000028280.1)". Lineage: Eukaryota; Metazoa; Chordata; Mammalia; Rodentia; Chinchillidae. The record is from RNAcentral.
CUGGUCUGUUACUUAAGUUCCCCAAAGCUGCCCCUAAGAGUUCUUCUGGGCCCUGGUAUUUGCACACAGAAUCUAAAUAUUUGCAAGAGUUCUUGCCCUUGCUCUUUCCUCCUCUGCUGGCAAAGUCAAACAUCACUGAAUCUCCGCCUCUGCCACCAGCAUGGCGGGAAUGCUGGCUGAUCGUUGGGAUUCAUUUAUUUAUUCUGCUGACAACAUCCAAUCUUAAGCAAGGGUCACUGUUUAUUUGCUCGCUCACCACUCGCUGACGCUCAUGUACAACAGGCACACAUCUGGACCUCCACAGGCGGAUCUCAGCAAAUACAGGUGACUCAACAUGCUCUGGCGUACACAGCACGGAAUGCUCGCCCCGGGUAGGAAGGAGGAAACUCUGACAGGAGUGCUGGGGUGUCACAGCCAGCAGUAGGUGGGUUGCACGUGGCAGGAAGAUGGAGAACACAGAGCUCUUCACUUCGUAACAGAUGGAGCAUCGCCAGUCUGUGUGGGAAAUAUGCCACUGCUAAGAAUAGGCCAUUUUGGUGGAAUCUUUGCUGCGAAAUUGGGGAUCAGUGCAAGUUAUACUUCCCACCAACUGAUGUAUAUGACAGCUUGGGAGGAAAAAUUAUGAAGAAGACUAUGGGGAAAACGGACAUCCAUAUCCAAGGUGGAAAGAAACCCACAUUUAAGGACUAAUCAGUUUUUUGAUAAUGUGUUGAAUUUUUAUUUGAAUAUGAAGAAUUGACUAAGGGCAAGAGUUUAUAUUGACUAGUAUUGUACAAUCUAAUUUUAGACUUCCUGCCUUUAUGUCCUCUCUAAUGCUUGUGUGUUAUUUAACUUCUCUGAUCCUCAGUUUCCUCUAUUGUAAAACUGAACUAUUACUAUGGUAUGAAGCAAAGGAUUGUUGUGUAUCUAAUAUUAUAAAAUAUAGAGGGCAUUGUAGGCACGUAAAAUCCCACUAAUAAAAGCAAAAUUGAAGAGAUUUUAAUGCCUUUCAUGUGCAAGGACAAAUACCCUACGGACACCAGCAGGCAUCCUUCCCACUCCA